UGGGGAAUUUUGGACAAUGGGGGCAACCCUGAUCCAGCCAUGCCGCGUGAGUGAAGAAGGCCUUCGGGUUGUAAAGCUCUUUCGGCCGGGAAGAAAUCGUGUUCUCUAACAUAGGACAUGGAUGACGGUACCGGACUAAGAAGCACCGGCUAACUACGUGCCAGCAGCCGCGGUAAUACGUAGGGUGCGAGCGUUAAUCGGAAUUACUGGGCGUAAAGCGUGCGCAGGCGGUUUUGUAAGACAGAUGUGAAAUCCCCGGGCUUAACCUGGGAACUGCGUUUGUGACUGCAAGGCUAGAGUACGGCAGAGGGGGGUGGAAUUCCUGGUGUAGCAGUGAAAUGCGUAGAUAUCAGGAGGAACACCGAUGGCGAAGGCAGCCCCCUGGGCCUGUACUGACGCU
RNAcentral lists this ribosomal RNA (400 nucleotides) under uncultured bacterium. Its description in RNAcentral is "bacterial SSU rRNA". It matches the Rfam family "Bacterial small subunit ribosomal RNA", at positions 355 to 747 of the family's 1533-position model. The record is from RNAcentral.